RNAcentral lists this unclassified non-coding RNA (64 nucleotides) under Geobacter sulfurreducens PCA. The record is from RNAcentral. Lineage: Bacteria; Pseudomonadati; Thermodesulfobacteriota; Desulfuromonadia; Geobacterales; Geobacteraceae.
CUGUGCCGUCCGUAACGUUGUCGAUUUUUGUAUUCCGGGGCCAUGAUGCCCCGGCCUCAUUGAA